Molecule: non-coding RNA, 70 nt
Organism: Dipodomys ordii (Ord's kangaroo rat)
Lineage: Eukaryota; Metazoa; Chordata; Mammalia; Rodentia; Heteromyidae
Source: Rfam
GGGAAGGUAGCUCAGUGGUAGAGUGCUUGCCUUGAAUUCAUGAGGCCCUGGGUUCGAUUCCUCAGCACCA